RNAcentral lists this ribosomal RNA (301 nucleotides) under uncultured bacterium. RNAcentral describes it as "partial 16S ribosomal RNA". It matches the Rfam family "Bacterial small subunit ribosomal RNA", at positions 509 to 807 of the family's 1533-position model. The record is from RNAcentral.
CAGCCGCCACGGGAAUACGUAGGGUGCAAGCGUUAAUCGGAAUUACUGGGCGUAAAGCGUGCGCAGGCGGUUUGUUAAGACAGAUGUGAAAUCCCCGGGCUCAACCUGGGAACUGCAUUUGUGACUGGCAAGCUAGAGUGUGGCAGAGGGGGGUGGAAUUCCGCGUGUAGCAGUGAAAUGCGUAGAUAUGCGGAGGAACACCGAUGGCGAAGGCAGCCCCCUGGGCCAACACUGACGCUCAUGCACGAAAGCGUGGGGAGCAAACAGGAUUAGAUACCCCCGUAGUCCCUGUCUCUUAUAC